RNAcentral lists this ribosomal RNA (427 nucleotides) under uncultured bacterium. Its description in RNAcentral is "bacterial SSU rRNA". It matches the Rfam family "Bacterial small subunit ribosomal RNA", at positions 355 to 775 of the family's 1533-position model. The record is from RNAcentral.
UCGAGAAUUUUUCACAAUGGGCGAAAGCCUGAUGGAGCGACGCCGCGUGGGGGAUGAAUGGCUUCGGCCCGUAAACCCCUGUCAUUCGCGAUCAACCCUUACUAUUUAAAAGAUGGUAAGCUGAUAGUAGCGGAAGAGGAAGGGACGGCUAACUCUGUGCCAGCAGCCGCGGUAAUACAGAGGUCCCAAGCGUUGUUCGGAUUCACUGGGCGUAAAGGGUGCGUAGGUGGUGAGGUAAGUCGGAUGUGAAAGCUCGGAGCUCAACUCCGGAAUGGCAUUGGAAACUACCUUGCUUGAGGAUUGGAGGGGGGACGUGAAUACUUGGUGUAGCAGUGAAAUGCGUAGAUAUCAAGUGGAACACCAGUGGCGAAGGCGAGUCCCUGGACAAUUCCUGACACUGAGGCACGAAAGCUAGGGGAGCAAACAG